CGGUAACAGGAAGAAGCUUGCUUCUUUGCUGACGAGUGGCGGACGGGUGAGUAAUGUCUGGGAAACUGCCUGAUGGAGGGGGAUAACUACUGGAAACGGUAGCUAAUACCGCAUAACGUCGCAAGACCAAAGAGGGGGACCUUCGGGCCUCUUGCCAUCGGAUGUGCCCAGAUGGGAUUAGCUAGUAGGUGGGGUAACGGCUCACCUAGGCGACGAUCCCUAGCUGGUCUGAGAGGAUGACCAGCCACACUGGAACUGAGACACGGUCCAGACUCCUACGGGAGGCAGCAGUGGGGAAUAUUGCACAAUGGGCGCAAGCCUGAUGCAGCCAUGCCGCGUGUAUGAAGAAGGCCUUCGGGUUGUAAAGUACUUUCAGCGGGGAGGAAGGGAGUAAAGUUAAUACCUUUGCUCAUUGACGUUACCCGCAGAAGAAGCACCGGCUAACUCCGUGCCAGCAGCCGCGGUAAUACGGAGGGUGCAAGCGUUAAUCGGAAUUACUGGGCGUAAAGCGCACGCAGGCGGUUUGUUAAGUCAGAUGUGAAAUCCCCGGGCUCAACCUGGGAACUGCAUCUGAUACUGGCAAGCUUGAGUCUCGUAGAGGGGGGUAGAAUUCCAGGUGUAGCGGUGAAAUGCGUAGAGAUCUGGAGGAAUACCGGUGGCGAAGGCGGCCCCCUGGACGAAGACUGACGCUCAG
Molecule: ribosomal RNA, 694 nt
Filed under: uncultured Pseudomonadota bacterium
Lineage: Bacteria; Pseudomonadati; Pseudomonadota
Description: bacterial SSU rRNA
Rfam family: Bacterial small subunit ribosomal RNA
Source: RNAcentral